RNAcentral lists this ribosomal RNA (427 nucleotides) under uncultured bacterium. Its description in RNAcentral is "bacterial SSU rRNA". It matches the Rfam family "Bacterial small subunit ribosomal RNA", at positions 355 to 775 of the family's 1533-position model. The record is from RNAcentral.
UCGAGAAUUUUUCACAAUGGGCGAAAGCCUGAUGGAGCGACGCCGCGUGGGGGAUGAAUGGCUUCGGCCCGUAAACCCCUGUCAUUCGGGAUCAAAUCUAGCAACCUAACACGUUGAUAGUUGAUAGUACUGAAAGAGGAAGGGACGGCUAACUCUGUGCCAGCAGCCGCGGUAAUACAGAGGUCCCAAGCGUUGUUCGGAUUUACUGGGCGUAAAGGGAGCGUAGGUGGCAUUCUAAGUCUGAUGUGAAAGCUCUGAGCUUAACUCAGAAAUGGCAUUAGAAACUAGUUUGCUAGAGGAUUGGAGGGGAGAUUGUAAUUCUUGGUGUAGCAGUGAAAUGCGUAGAUAUCAAGAGGAACACCAGUGGCGAAGGCGAAUCUCUGGACAAUUCCUGACACUGAUGCUCGAAAGCUAGGGGAGCAAACGG